UGCGUAGGUGGUUGGUUAAGUUUGAGGUGAAAGCUCCGAGCUCAACUCGGAAAAUGCCUUGAAGACUAUCUGACUAGAGGAUUGGAGGGGGAGAUUGGAAUUCUCGGUGUAGCAGUGAAAUGCGUAGAUAUCGAGAGGAACACCAGUGGCGAAGGCGAAUCUCUGGACAAUUCCUGACACUGAGGCACGAAAGCCAAGGGAGCAAACG
Molecule: ribosomal RNA, 208 nt
Filed under: uncultured bacterium
Lineage: Bacteria
Description: partial 16S ribosomal RNA
Rfam family: Bacterial small subunit ribosomal RNA
Source: RNAcentral